Molecule: ribosomal RNA, 326 nt
Filed under: uncultured Spirochaetota bacterium
Lineage: Bacteria; Pseudomonadati; Spirochaetota
Description: bacterial SSU rRNA
Rfam family: Bacterial small subunit ribosomal RNA
Source: RNAcentral
AACGAACGCUGGCGGCGCGUCUUAAGCAUGCAAGUCGAGCGGCAAGCGGUAGCAAUAUCGCCUAGAGCGGCGGACUGGUGAGUAACACGUGGGUGAUCUACCUCUGGGAUGGGGAUAGUCUGUGGAAACACGGGAUAAUACCGAAUACGUUGGCAGGGUUACGGCCUUGCCAGGAAAGGUCCGUUUGGACCGCCCGGAGAUGAGCCUGCGGCUGAUUAGCUAGUUGGCGGGGUAAUGGCCCACCAAGGCGAUGAUCAGUAGCCGGACUGAGAGGUUGAACGGCCACAUUGGGACUGAGAUACGGCCCAAACUCCUACGGGUGGCAG